Molecule: ribosomal RNA, 492 nt
Filed under: uncultured bacterium
Lineage: Bacteria
Description: partial 16S ribosomal RNA
Rfam family: Bacterial small subunit ribosomal RNA
Source: RNAcentral
AGUGAACGCUGGCGGUAGGCCUAACACAUGCAAGUCGAACGGCAGCACAGUAAGAGCUUGCUCUUACGGGUGGCGAGUGGCGGACGGGUGAGGAAUACAUCGGAAUCUACUUUUUCGUGGGGGAUAACGUAGGGAAACUUACGCUAAUACCGCAUACGACCUACGGGUGAAAGCAGGGGAUCUUCGGACCUUGCGCGAUUGAAUGAGCCGAUGUCGGAUUAGCUAGUUGGCGGGGUAAAGGCCCACCAAGGCGACGAUCCGUAGCUGGUCUGAGAGGAUGAUCGGCCACCCUGGAACUGAGACACGCUCCAGACUCCUACGGGAGGCAGCAGUGGGGAAUAUUGGACAAUGGGCGCAAGCCUGAUCCAGCCAUACCGCGUGGGUGAAGAAGGCCUUCGGGUUGUAAAGCCCUUUUGUUGGGAAAGAAAAGCAGCAGGUUAAUACCCCGCUGUUCUGACGGUACCCAAAGAAUAAGCACCGGCUAACUUCGUG